GCGGGGGGAGCUCGGUUGGUAUCCGAAGCAAUAGAUUGUGAAUCUAAAGGGCAUGGGUUCGAGUCCCAUUUCUCGCC
This 77-nucleotide transfer RNA is filed under the name Hildenbrandia rubra. Its description in RNAcentral is "tRNA-His". It matches the Rfam family "tRNA". From Rfam's summary of the family: Transfer RNA (tRNA) molecules are approximately 80 nucleotides in length. Their secondary structure includes four short double-helical elements and three loops (D, anti-codon, and T loops). The record is from RNAcentral. Lineage: Eukaryota; Rhodophyta; Florideophyceae; Hildenbrandiales; Hildenbrandiaceae.